This 7726-nucleotide long non-coding RNA is filed under the name Ananas comosus (pineapple). Its description in RNAcentral is "long non-coding RNA (ACOM_LNC021871)". Lineage: Eukaryota; Viridiplantae; Streptophyta; Magnoliopsida; Poales; Bromeliaceae. The record is from RNAcentral.
AUUUGGAUAUUUCUACACCGUUAAACUUGCAACCGGCUCACCAUGGCCGUUAAAAUUAUUGAUUUUGAGCCCCUUCGAUCACUAGGCAAAUGAUAUCGAAAAAUCGCAAAAUUUAUUUUCUAGGUACUUCAAAUACUCUAGAUCAACUCUAACGGAGCCGAUCGUCGAUUCGAAAGUCGGAACAUCGAAAACAACUUGGAAGCACGAAGGUAGGGAUGCAAAUGGAUCCGGGUUGGUGGAGCUCCGCCUCGAUCCGCCCCGAAUGGGGUGGUAAGUGGGAACAAAAAAUAUAGAAAAAUAUAACCCGCCCCGAAUCCGCCCCGAUCCGCCAAGUAAAUGGAGCGGGAGGCCGGAGACUCUUUUCUUCCUUCAAUCUAUCCCGAUCCGUUAAAAAUCCGCUCCCGCCCCGCUCCCGCUCCGAUCCGCCCCGAAUGGAGCGGUAAGUGGGAGCCAAAAAUAAAAUGAAAAGUAACUCGCCCCGAAUCCGCCCCGCCCAGAUAAGAAAUGGAGCGGGAGGUGGGGGAACUCUCCCGCCCCCGGAUCCGCCCCGUUUGCAUCCCUACACGGAGGCCUCCGUGCUUCUAUAAGCAUACCAGCCCACUCUAUAUAUAACAGAAAAAUAAAUGGCUGAAAAUGAAUACUCUUUAAAAAAUGAUGAUAGGAGUCUUAUAAUCAAGAUCAAGGGUAUAGAUCUUGUUUUAAAUAGUUUAAAGAAUUUUCUAACAAAAAUUCAAUUGAUUUAGAUAUCUUUACGCCGGUAAACGAGAAAACGCCUCUUAUUGACCAUUAAAAUUAUAAAUUUUGAAAUCCUUUGAUUAUUAGGCAAAUGAUGUCGAAAAGAUUUGAAAUUUGAUUUCUAAAUACUUCAAGUGGUAUAGAUCAUGUUCAACGCGGGUUGUUGCUUCUUGAGUUCGCGCCACCAGCUCUUGGGCUCGGAGCUUUGGAUCCGGGCGCGGGAGCGGCGGCGCCGCCGGAGGGUUGGGCUUCGCCUCCCCUUCGUCGCUGGUCCUUCGUUCGAGCUCUCCAAUAUGGCGCAAAUCGGGAUCUGGUUUUGCUCUUACUUCUUGCUAGGGCUUUUGGGCGGCGGCGGCCUCGCUUCGUGCUCUCGGGGGACAGCUUCGGCUGCUGGCCGACUGUGGAGGGCGGCGGAUUAGGGUUCCGGGUCGACGUUCGCCGUCACCGCGUCCCUUGUGCUGGAGCGCGAUCGCAGUCGCGCUUUGUACACGGCCUGACGAGUGUUCGACCGAAAUGCCCAACCAGAAAGAACAUCAAAGUAAGUUACAAAGGAGAAGUUUUUAAUCAAUCCAUUCCAUAACUUAAAAGAAGGGCCACAGCAACUCAACACUCUCCGCUGUUAAUAUCUAAUGAGUAAACAUUUUAUCAACUAUUAAACUUAAACUAAAUUUCACAAAAUCUUUGAUUUAUUUUAAAUCAAAACAAUCAAAGUUAUACAAAUGCACAAUAGCUUAUAGUUAAAGGGUGUCAAUGCAAUUUUUCACCCUGGAAAAUCUGAAAAGAAAGAGAAGAAGCUGGCAUGUGGGCAUAAAACUCCUUCCAUGUGUUGGAGGAUCUUCUUCACCUUCUUCUUGCAUCCCUGGCAAUGGAUGGACACCUUCAACACAAAAGUCUCACACAAACCAAACAAAGAAAAGAAAACACCCACAAAAACAAAUUAAUGGUCGUGUAAGAUUACUAAAAGAAGAGCUUUAGAGCCCUAGAGAGAGAGACAGAGAGAGAGAGAGAGACACCUUAUAUUGUAAUGGUUCUGUUGUCGCUUCACCUGAAGCCAUUUAUAGAAGUUAAGUUCACACAGAAAGAGGGAAGGAGAUGGAAUGAGUGCUUGUAUUACACUAGAGAGAGAAAUGGGUGUUGGUUGAGAGAGAGAGAGAGAGAGAGAGAGAGAGAGAGAGAGAGAGGUAGGCGAAGGUGGUUUUGAGGAGAAAACACACACACCACACGUGCGCACAAACGCACAUCACACACACUGUUAAGAAGUGGGUGUGAGAGGGGUUUUUAGAGGCAAUAAGCCAUCCUUUAAUAAUGGCUAAACAUGGCCCCCCUAUUUCACUAAAAUCACAACUUUAUUCUUUUAUAAAUUAAUAUAAUUUUAUCCUAACUAUAAACCAUUCUGAUAUAACUAUCUAAUCUAUUAAAAUUUUGAUUUUAAGUUAAAAAGUUAACUACUAGCUCAAAUAAAAAAAAAAAAUAAAUUAGUUUCCAGUAAAAUCAAAAUCUUUAUAAGUUAGAUAGCUCAUCGAAAUACGGUGAUAGUUUUGAGAUAGAUGCUAUAUUAUAUUUUAACUUAUUUUUUUAAAAAAAAAAGAUAUUUGCGGGCUAGUGGGUUUUUGUGUUAAUGAUAAAUAAAGCUCAAAUCAAUAUUAAAUGGCCCCCAUUUUCAAUAUCUUAUGUUUAGGAUGUGACUUGACACCGCACUUAUAUUGUAAAAUUGUUGGAUUAUUAGGGUUUAAAUGGAGUACAUUUGGAUUUUUGGUUGCUGUUUAUGGCAAAUUUUACAACAACUUUUGGAGGAUGAUCAUGAGUACACCUCGUUCCUUAGCAUGGAAUCUCAAAUUGAUAUCUUGAUAGAAACACUUCAAGAGAUAAUUAGUUGAUGGUAAACAUUUUGGCUUUGGGUCUCAUUAUCAAUGCGUGGUUUGUAGGUUAAAUGUUACACAUGAGCUAUUUAGGAUCUAUUUAGUCCUACGUACCGUAGGGUAUGAGGUGAUUAACAAAGUAGUUGUAUUGAUAUAUUCCUCCUUAGGAGAAAUGACUGAUUUUAAAUCUCGUUAACAACCUUUCUUCAGUAGUAAAAUUAGAAACAUCCAAGUUUUAAGCAUAGCUCUUCAUAUUUUAGAUUCAAAGUAGGUUUUGUAAUACUUUGUUUCGAGUAAUAUUGCAGCUAGAAAUAGAAGCAGAAGGCAAGCAGGCUUAAAGAAUAUUCUUAAGAGCAUUGAUAGAUAAUUACAAUUUUCACACAUCUGAUACACAUUGUGACCACGUAUAACGAGUGAGUAUGUGUGCGAAUUUUGAAAACACAUACAUGAAAAUGUGAAAGCCAUCUAUUGUUUUGUUGUUGUUGUUGUUAGUUUGUUCUUGUUUUCUUUUUUUUUUUCAAGUAUGCUUAUUUAGUUCCUCGAAAGAAGUAGAGAAUACAAGUAUUCUUGUUGAAGCCUUCAAGUGCCAUUGUAAUAUUCUAACCACCAAUAGUUUCCUCCGCCAAGACGAAAAUAUUUCACUGGGCAUGCAUGAAUAAGGGGCAAGGGCCAUAUAAACAUAGAUCAUUUUUUCAGGUAUCCUUUUUAACAUACAAAAGCAAUCGCGCUUUUCUAUUUGUCAUACAUACUUUUGGCUAGGGGACGAAUACUUGUUACUGAAAAUGAAAUAGAAAUCAGAAGACAUGUGAGAGUUCCAGUGAUUAUUGGUCUGGUUACAAGUAUUUGGAUAGAUGCUGACUCGCCAAAUUUGUGAACGUCUAUUUCGAGUGAUCCGAAUCGGUCCUAACCCCAGUCAUUUACAAAAUUGCAAUUACACUACUUGUCAAGACUCGUUAAACAUCUAUAUAUCAAUGAGAUAAGAUUGUUGACUCAUGUCGUAUGACCAAAUCAAAGAAAAAGAUGGUGUUAUAUAUAUAGUAUAUAUUAUAUAGAGCAGUGGCUGCUGUGGGCUCUCAGGAGUGCACGGAGGCCUUCGUGGCUCUUGAAGGCCGAUUUUCGAUGAUUGAAUUUUCAAAUCACGAUCGCCUCCGUUAGACUUGAUCUAGGCGCAUUUGAAUUUCUAUGAAAUAAUUUGCUAUUUUUGAUAUCAUUGUACUAGUGAUCAGAAAGGAUUCAAAAUUCAUGAAUUUUUAAUGGUUGAUAUCGCCGUUUAUCAAGUUCAACGAUGUAGAAGUAUUCAAUGCAGAUGAAAUUAUUGAUACAAAUAUUCUUUAUACUAUCUAUAACAAGAUCAAUAUUUCUGAUACGAAAAUUUUGAGUGCUAUAUCACCACUGUUUUAUAGAAUUUAUUAUUUUCAAGCUGUUAAAAAUUAUUGAUUUGAAUCCUUUGUAUGCUAGAUAAAUGAUAUCGAAAUUACAAAUUAUUUUCUAAAAACUUCCAAAAUACGCUUUAUCAAGUUUAACGAGCCGAUCGUUGAUUCGGAUAACUCCCAUCAUCGAAAACGGCUCAAGAGCACGAGGCCCCGUGCUCCUGAGAGCACAGCAACCCUGCUUCUAAUAUAUAUAGUAUGAUUAUAUAUAUUAUAUAUUAUAUAUAUUAUAUAUAUAUUGAGUUGAGCUAUAUACUUUUACAAGUAUCACCAUCCGAUGGUGCUAUUUGGUUUUAGCGCAUAUGGAUCUACUUUUUGAUUAUUAAUAGCCCUUGAUUAAACACGUAUUCCCCUACCACCAUAGCCUUAACCACUAUCAUUUCAACCUCAAUCUCUCCACAUCUCCAAAAGCUAAAACAACAAGUAUUGCAUUCCCAAUGAUACUUUUUACAAGUAUCUAGCCCUACUCUUAUUAUAUAUACAGGCAACAUUCAUUAUUUUGGGCUCCACGGCUAUGUAAGAAAGGUAAAUUAUGUAGUAAACUCUUUGACCCAUGCAACUCUUAAAGAGUCAAUUUGCCGUGUUGUUUGUCUCUCUCUAGAGUGUUCGAGAGAGAAAAGAAGAGGGUGGUUGUUUUUUGUAGUGUGCUUAUGUUGUGAACGAUCAUUUGGCUUUAAAAUAAAAGAACCCAAAUAAAUUAGAUUUCAUUUAUGUUAUCCGAUAUGUUCUUUUGUCUCUGUUUUAGAUCAAUUCUCGAUUGAUGAAUAGCACGUAUAAUCCUAUGACAUAGUUUAUGCUGUACGAACCAAAAACACUCUUUAUUCAGAAAAAUAAAUUCCUUGGUAAGCUAAAUCAGACUAAGAACAUGUUGCCUUUAAUUAUAACUUAUGAAGUUUUUUAUAUCAAGAAAGAGAAAAUAUAGGCCCAUUCUUAGAACCAUCAUUGCAUAGAACUGAGUAACAAAAAAAGGGCAUAGAUAUUAAACAAUGGUAAGCAUGAACUUAAUUUGUUUUUAUCUUAUGUCAAAUAAUUAAUAGACAUGCCUAUAAAAUUAUUGACGCAAGUAAUAUUAACAAUGGUAAAUUGUUUACGCUAGUCAUUUAUUCUAAGAAUUCGAGCUAGAAUAUUUUUAGAAGAAUCACCGUCCUCCUUGGUGGCUAUAGGUUUUUAGCCAUUGGAUCUACUUUUGAUUACUAAUAGUCCAUUGGAUCAAACACAUUCACUCCACACCUACCACCAUCCAUCUCAACCUCACAUCUCCCAUCAAUGCGUUAAAAAUUUAAAAAUACCACUCCCCCUUGGUCGCUUUUUGAGAGUAUUCUUAUUCAUUCCCAACUGCAGAAAGAGCUAAUAAGAGCUAUGCUCCUCCUUCGCUGCCAUGCUUUCAGAAAUGCCACAUGUAAUCAUUAAUUAGCUGCUCUGACCAAAUUGCAAUUCAAAAUAAAGGCAAAAGAAAAGUGGGGGAAAAGAUGACAGCAAAUAGCUUGCAUCGUUUCUUCACGUGGAAUUGUUUCUUUUCUUUCUUCCUUUUUUCUUUCACCCACCCUCCCACCCCCCUGUUCUGAAAGCUCAAUGUUAAAUGCUUAUCUAUAUCACUUUUAAUGGCAUGUACUCCACAAUUCUCUAUUUAGCUAAGCCUAAGGUUUGGGUUUCCCCUCAAAUGUUGGACAAGAACAAAAGGAAUUAUGAAACGCAUACUUCCAACUUCCCAGGCAGGUGAAGUUUUUUGUUGUACUAAGUGUAAUACUUUUACUUGCGGGUGGAAAGUUGGUGUCAUGAGGAAAUCACAGUUUGCUUUUGCUGUGAUGCAACUGUCCCGAACAACUGGAGACUAACUUGCAACUCCUUUUUUUUGCAGGUUUAAUUUCAGGCACACAAUGGAAAGUUGUGGUGGUACAGAGAGAGAGGGAGAUGAGAGAGAGAAAGCAGGGAAUUUUUUCUGCGAACGCAGGUUCAACUGCAUGUCAGAAAUAGAUCAAUUAACCCAUUAUUGGCAAACCCUGCCCCACCCCUUAAAACAUAAAAUUUUCAUAAUGCCCCAAUUUGGAUGUGAUUGGUUUAAUACCGGAGUUGUCCCCAAGUAAUGAAGAAAGUUUAUAAAUUUUCAAUAUUUAUUACAGAAACAUUCAAUUAAAUAAGGUUUGUCGGCUCUUUUGUCACCAUUGCUUCAAAUUCUGCUUUUCAACAGUACAAAAUUAGGUUUUUUAGCGGAGCACCCCAAUCUUGGGUCACUAUAAAAAUUUUAGAGUUUUUAAAUAACGACAUUUUCAAUUGAAUCUUCCUGAUGAUUUUUAAUAGCCAUUACACCCUACUAAAGGUGCGUAUAAUUCUUGUUUGAAAAUUUAUAAUGAAUUAAAAACAGUUUUUAUUAAAAUGCCCCCGAAUACUAAUGACAGUUUUUUUAAAUUUUUAUGUUUAAGCAUGUAAAUAUACGUGGUGGACAGGGUCCGGGCAAAGUUCCUCGAUAGUGAGGUAUGAUUUGUGCGCAAUAAAAUGAAAUGAUCACAUAGGAGGGGGAAGGUACAAAGUUUGAUCAUAUCUGGGUGAAUGCCAACUGAUACCUUUGCAAAUAAUUUUUGAUCAUUUUAUGUGUGGUUUAAAUGCUCGAAUCUUGGCUACCAUCACACCCACAGUAGAUUCUAUCAAGUGUGUGUUCACCUGCACUGUCAACAACUGAUAUCUAACUCAGAACCCAUGAGCAACAACCUGGCAGACAGUAAGCUCUUCGUGGAUCCAUGCGAAUUAAUAUUUUAAAAAAUCAGGUGGAAUACGAAACAGUGGAAUAAAGUCACUGAUGAGUGAAUCAAGUGCAUUCAGUCUAUACAUUAUUAUGUUAAUCAUUUAUUUAUUUUUAAACUUAAUUAUAUAAUUAUAUGUAUAUAUUAUUUUAGGAUAUGGAGCUGAAAUACUAUCAAAAGUAGUACCUAAGUUAUUAGUGUUAUUAGGUUUUUGAUCUUUGGAUGAAAAAAACUAUUAUGAUUAGGCAUGAUGUGGCGCUCUUAUAAAGGGUUGAAUGAGUUAUGUUAUUUAUUAGUGUAAUCUAAUAAUUGAAAAUAGUUAAAAGAUUAAAUCUAAGGCGGAAAACUUAGUCAUGGGUUAAAUCUAACCGGAAAAUUUGAUAGCGAACCAAACGGUUGGUGGCUAAUUGAUAGUAUCGCAGCGAUAAUUACAGUAGUUCUGUGCUCUCAGGAGCAACGGAGGCCCUCCGGCUCCUAAGUCAUUUUUGAUGAUAGAAUUUUUCAAAUUGACAGGAUCGGCUCUGUUAGACUUGAUUCUAACGUCAUUUGAAGUUUCUAGAAAAUAAUUUUUCGCCGCUUUUUUUAUAUCAUUACGUCUACAAUCGAAAAGGAUUCAAAAUCAAUAAUUUUAACCGGUUGAAAAUGAAAAUUCUAUAAAAAGUGGUGAUAUAGCAACUAAGAAUUUUCGAUCAGAAAUAUGAUCUUGUCUGUAAGAUAGUAAAGAAUUUGUAUCAAUUUCAUCUGAUUUGAAUACUCUAUAACGUUAAACAUUGAAAAGCGGCAAAUUAUCAACCAUUAAAAAUUAUUUGAUUUUGAUCAUUUCGAUCUAUCUAAUAAAUGAAGUCAAAUGGAAAAAUUAUUUUCUGAAACUUCAAAAUACGGCUACCAUCAAGUCUAACGGAGCCGAAUCGUCGAUUCGGAAAUUCAUCAUCUGCACGCUCAGGACACGGAGGGCUCCGUGCUU